Molecule: non-coding RNA, 2558 nt
Organism: Petromyzon marinus (sea lamprey)
Lineage: Eukaryota; Metazoa; Chordata; Hyperoartia; Petromyzontiformes; Petromyzontidae
Source: RefSeq, a predicted model, not a curated record
ACUGAACACACACCAACACACACGCGCACGUACUUACACGUGCAUUGCAUUAGCCACCUAAAACAAAUCAGGUGUGCUGUAUAUUAAAUGCAAAGCAACGCAUUAUAUUUCUAUUGGGUGACUAGGCCACGCGCUCACAGAGCCAACAAAAGGACCGCCACCCUGCGCGGUGCAUCUGUUCCACGAGUUCCGUUCCGCGGAUGUCGAUUGCCGGGGCAAACGCACGGACGAGCUGAUGGGGGUUUUUUUUCUUCCCCCAAGAAUCAGCUGCCUCGUAUCGCAGGGUCGGAGCGUGGCGUCGUCAUGGGAAAAUAACAGGGAGCUGCUUGUUUCUCCUGCUGAGCGACGCGUGCAGGAAGGGCGAGCUCCGGCUUGAGUCAAGAGGCGUUCGCUUGUGUGCCUGGGGUCAUAUCCGUGGAAUUGUUUGUGACUUUUUUUCUUUUGGAACCAAGACAACUAGCCCCUGGAUACACGUAAUGGAGUGCAGAAGAGCGGACAGAGCAAGGCACACUGACGUGCUGUCGAUGAGCCUGAAGUCUGUCCCAAGCCGACAGACCGGGGGUGCAGAGCAGGCCAAGUACCGCCGAUUAGCACGGUCUGCUACGUCAUAUGCGAAAGAAGUUCGACGUACAAGCAUACAAGCAGCAGCCUGAUUUGCCUCCGCUGCUGUGGCUACGUGGAGAGGUGGCCCACGUGACUCAUGAGGCAGGUGAAAGUCAGAAGCCAUCGUUUACUCUCCAUCACCCUGCAGGGACCUUUUUCUCCGGGAAUUUAGAUCUCCUGGUGAAGCCAUUAGUAAUCGUGCAAAUCAUUGGGGGGCGGUGGCAGGGGGGGGGUUGCUCCUUGUCGGUUGCUGCUCCCACGAUCUGGACCUUGUAACAAUUUUAACUUCAUGCAGAUGACACUUUCAUUAUUGUUAUUUGUUUUGCGUUGUUGUUGUUAUUAUUAGUAUUGCUAUGAUGCUUGUUUACCCAGGAAAAGGCUCACUGAGUCUCGAGACUAUUUUUGCUGGAUGUUCAUGCCGAGUUUUUCGUUUGCCGCGUGUGAUCUCUGUUGAGUAAUUUGCAGGUAACGUUGCAGCAUCGGGAUGUUUGGCCAAUACCGGUUGAAGUGUAUUAGCGUUCUUUUUGUUUGACCAUUGGAGGAAAUCAGAGAAGCUGAAGGAAAACCAUGAAGAACAGGGGGAGAACAUACAAACACCACAGAGAAAGGCACUUCUUGCCCUUCUUGCUGUGAGGCACACGUGUUCUGCCACCACUGUUUAGGUGUUUUAUGUUCGCAAAAAGCCUCUAUUUUUAUAAAUGUAUUUUUAAAAAAAUGCAUCUCUGCUUUUUUUAAUUGUAUGCAAUUGAUUAGUCAUGUCAAUAGUUAUUUUGUUGUAAGGUAUCUGGAGUUGUGGGACAUUGAAAGAAGCAAAUGUGAAUUGCCUAAUUGAGUAAAUGUUCAUUUUAUUUACAAACCAUAUAGUCUAUGUUGUGUUAUUGAAUAUGUAAAAUUGUGAUGUAAAGACCAGUGUUUAAUAUCAUCUGGAACAGCCCGGAUUGCUGUUUUGGGAAUUAUUUUGGCACACCACGUCCAUCCUCUGAACAGGUUUUUAAUAAUAGGAUUAUAGGAAUAUAGGGUACAAUAAUAUAGGAUUAUUCUGAAUAGGCGUACCUUAUACUGCAGCGAUAGUGCCUUACACCGAUAAUCCUUACUCCUCUCCAGCCUAGCGGCAUUUAGGAAAAUAUCGAGUGGCAAAAAUAAGCUGUGCUUAGAAGUAAUAAGUACCAUAGAAACUGAACCAAUUUCUAUAAUAAAUACUAAAUGUGUGGGUCCAGGGCGAUAUAAUGUUGUGUUUACAAUCUCAGGCACAUUUUUCUUUCGGUAAAUAUCAUCACACUGGCUCCAACCAGGCCUGGCAAACGUUGUUUCCGUUGGCAGUAGCAACGGAAGAUGUGAAGGAAUGAGGGCCCACUGAGAUAGCAUUAUUAUCCUACACUGGUGGGUCCAUAAAAUAUCUUCUCGACAGGGCUACUCAUGAGCCCGACGGCCCUGUCAAGGUGACCGCAAUCUCUGAACUCCCUCGGUUCCAUCCCUCGAGUUGCCCCUGAGUAAGACACAAGAGGAGUUUCCAUGCACGCUGAGUGAGUUGGAUCGCCCACGGCCAACAGCUCGAAUUUGGUUCGGAGUGGUAACGCAGCGAUUGGCGGUAUUCCACAUUGAAACCAGCGACAUUGAGUUUGGUGCAAUCAAUUUCUACGUGAUAAACCACUUUGUUGAGCUAUAAUUUGUGGCCAGAUCGCUUCUGAAAAAGAGCUAUACAGUUCAGUGGGCCUUACCUCGUAAAAUAAAAAAAAAUUGUUGAGUUUUUAGUUUAAUGUCCAUAUUGGAGUGCAGGUCACAGCGAUACACUUAAAAAAAUAACCAGAAUAGAAGUUUCUGGCCCAGGAUAAUGUAAAAUUAAUUGACAGAUAGGGUAGACAACUUGGAAGUAUGACACGUGGGAGGCUUUCGCGACCAAUAUCAUCCAUAAUAGAGGUUUGUUGGGUUAGGUCGCGUAAAUAUAUUAAUGUGUC